Molecule: ribosomal RNA, 414 nt
Filed under: uncultured bacterium
Lineage: Bacteria
Description: bacterial SSU rRNA
Rfam family: Bacterial small subunit ribosomal RNA
Source: RNAcentral
AACGAACGCUGGCGGCGUGCCUAACACAUGCAAGUCGAACGCGAAACGUCGGCUUUCGGGCGGCGAGUAGAGUGGCGCACGGGUGAGUAACACGUAGACAACCUGCCUUCGAGCCCGGAAUAACCUUUCGAAAGAAGGGCUAAUACCGGAUAACACUUGGGGCCACAUGGCCUCUGGUUGAAAGGCUUGCUACUCGGAGAGGGGUCUGCGGGACAUUAGCUAGUUGGUGGGGUAACGGCCUACCAAGGCGACGAUGUCUAGCGGGUCUGAGAGGAUGAUCCGCCACACUGGAACUGAGACACGGUCCAGACUCCUACGGGAGGCAGCAGUGGGGAAUUUUGCGCAAUGGGCGAAAGCCUGACGCAGCAACGCCGCGUGUGUGAAGAAGGCCUGCGGGUUGUAAAGCACUUUAGU